RNAcentral lists this ribosomal RNA (398 nucleotides) under Tetraselmis cordiformis. RNAcentral describes it as "partial small subunit ribosomal RNA". It matches the Rfam family "Eukaryotic small subunit ribosomal RNA", at positions 30 to 432 of the family's 1831-position model. The record is from RNAcentral. Lineage: Eukaryota; Viridiplantae; Chlorophyta; Chlorodendrophyceae; Chlorodendrales; Chlorodendraceae.
GCUUGUCUCAAAGAUUAAGCCAUGCAUGUCUAAGUAUAACUCUUUUACUUUGAAAACUGCGAACGGCUCAUUAUAUCAGUUAUAGUUUCUUUGAUAGUCCCUUACUACUUGGAUAACCGUAGUAAUUCUAGAGCUAAUACGUGCGUAAAUCCCGACUCCUGGAAGGGACGUAUUUAUUAGAUUUAAGGCCAACCGAGCUUGCUCGUCUCUUGGUGAAUCAUGAUAACUUCACGAAUCGCAUGGCCUCGCGCCGGCGAUAUUUCAUUCAAAUUUCUGCCCUAUCAAUUGGCGAUGGUAGGAUAGAGGCCUACCAUGGUGUUAACGGGUGACGGGGAUUAGGGUUCGAUUCCGGAGAGGCAGCCUGAGAAACGGCUACCACAUCCAAGGAAGGCAGCAGG